This is a non-coding RNA of Pelobates cultripes (western spadefoot toad), 10856 nucleotides long. The record is from the annotation of a GenBank genome assembly. NCBI's taxonomy places the organism in Eukaryota, Metazoa, Chordata, Amphibia, Anura, Pelobatidae.
CUUCCAAUUCCUGUCCAGCCUCACACACAGACACUGGAGGAGCUAGGAGAGCACUGAGUGUUACAGUGGUAACAUACUUUGGUAGGUGCAUACUUUGCCUAAUGUGAAAUGUGGCACUGCUGCUGCCGUUAGCGAAGGCAGGGAACUAUGUCUACGAAAAAAAAAAUCAUUAAAAUAUUUCUAAUCUAUAGUGUUGGAUUUAUACUGAAAUUGAAUGCAAAUAAUACAAUUGAUAGUAAAAAACGAUAUAAAAAUUCCCCACUAGUCUGUAGAUAGUCUGUAGUGGUUAGUCAGCUAGACUAGUGCCAGUUCUAUCCUGGGCACGUGCCGGGAUUAUGAAUAUACACAAACAAAGUAGAGCAGAGUUUCCCAAGAAGGGAUCCCUAAUCUGGUAAUGGCAGGAUUGCACAGCAGAUACAAAAAGUAAAGAGUUUAUACCAUAAAAAGAAACACACUGAUAACUGUAAGUUGUGGAUACAUUGUACUAAGCAUCUGCUCGAAUAAAUUGUGAUUAGUGUCUACAUUGACUUUAUUGGAUACAUGCCGACCUGAAUACUGUAACAUCGUAUCAAAAUGGAGUAACUGCUAUAGAACUAAGGAAAGAUAGGGACAUAACGUUAACACCAAGUAUCUAAUGUUCCUGGGGGCUGGGUGAUACAUAUCCUAUCAUUGCCAGCCAUAUCUAAGAUAUACGUCUCAAGUGAUAUGGAACUAUAAAAUCAAGGAUCCUAUAGGAGGCAGACUCACUUGGGUGGAUAACAAGAGCAAGUAGCCCAAAAUAACUCAAUCGACUCAUAAUACAAACAGGCCAAAUAUAUUAUACGCCUCUCACCGGCAAAGUCGCGGAAACAAGUAUACAAUACAAAGUACAGGAGGAGCAGUUAAAUCAAUCACUGUGAGUCCGCCCCACUUAAUAAAGAUACAACAUGAUCUAAAUCGGAAUAAAUGCAUGGCUAACACCGAGAGGCAGCCCCACCUAAAGAGGUACACAAUGAUAGAGUCAAAAAGAAACCAAAUGACUACUAAGCCUAUCACCGACAGUCAGCCCCACCUGUAAGUAUAGACUUACCUGGAAUAUAGGAGAAGCAGGCUAACUGCUAAGCCUAUCACUGUAAGUAAACCCCACCAGGAAACAACAUAGCUAGGAAAGAGCGAAAAGGUAAUAUAUAGAAAAAUAGCACUGUGUAUUGAAUGAUCACUAGUAGGGGACAUCCCUUGAAUAGCAGAAACCAGCGGUGGCCUGACAAUCUAUCCAUGAUAGACCGAUCUCAAUCUAAAUACCCUGGUUGACUCACAGCUUUUGAGGCAACCUACCAACCUGAGAACAUCCAUAUCUGAAAUUCCACAACCACUAACUCACAUUAACUAAUUCAGUGUCAAUCAGCGUCUCAAUUAUAAACAUAUUAUAGUACAUGAAAAGAAAGAAAAGGUGAUUUGCGCACACAGAAACAAAUAACUUGUUUACCUUAUAUUCAUCAACAUUCUAAUAAUCAAACCAUAGGUAGUUCUUUGAAACCUAUUUUUAAAUGAAUUUAAAAACACACACAUAGUGUAAAUUGUAUAUGUGAGAUAAUAUAAGUGUUAAAAUAUUCCUUCAAACUCACAAUUCCUAGAGACCAUUAAAAGUUGGCUCGGUACUUAUGGUGCUUUUCAUCUCAUCCGUGAGAUAUAUAAUGGGAAUGCAGAGUAAACGCCCUCAGGAACUCGGUACUGUUGGUUUUACAGGAAACUAGAGAGUCCAGGGUGGAUAUUUAGUCAAAAUGUAUUUAACAGAAUUAAAAACAAAAACAAAAUUUUGUUUUUUUAAAAAUAGAAUAUAAAAUAUUGUAAAGUAGCACAACGCGUUUCACCCUUUCAGACGGGUCUUUCUCAUGUGCAUCUAUUUUUCAAAUGAGCACAUUCACUCUUAUAUAUCAUACAAACAUCGAUAUAAUUAAAACAAUUUAAUACAUCUGUAUAAAAUUACCACCUACAUCCAUAUUUGGUCAAAACCGGAAGUUCCUCGCCAAUCUCAAUGUGGCCGAACUUCCGAUCUCGCACAUAUUGUCCUUGCCCUUCCCAAGAUGUCCCCUGGCUGCACAUAAUUCAUUUAUUGCCAAUGUUCCAUUUCCGACUGUCAGUCCUUCACAGCUAUGUAUUCCGUCGAGCUGAUCAUAAUGUUCCAAUACGUCAUUUCCUAUGGCGCAUGCGCCUUUACGUCCGUCAUGCCGAAACAGUCUUUUCUUCAGAUCAGUGUUAUUUUCACAGUCAUCUAUUUUAGAGUGGGGCAUAGAUGUUAAUGUGUCCACAGUCCAUAUUAGAAAGGCAAAAAAUGUAAUGGGGGAGAUAUAAAAAUAAUAUAUAUUAAAAUCCAUUUCCAUUAUAAAUAUAUGAAAAAGACUUUCCUAUAAUUUAACACUAUAAAUUAUUAAUAGACUCAUGCAGUUAAAAAAAUACAUAUAAAAAUAAGUGCAAAAACCAAUACAGAAAAAAGGGGGUAUAUUUAGCUUCAAGUGAAUUGUGAGGUAGAUAUUCUGACAAGACUUUUUUAUACAAAUAAAAUACCUAGAAAAAAACCUAGAAUAAUACUAUAUAAUAUAUGAACAUAAAAAAAGGAAAAGUAAAAAUUGUUCAAGGUUUAAAAAUUCCUUUUCAUAAAAUAUAAUUAAUUCUAAAAUCAAUGUUAAGGCCCAUAGGGGUUAAAGUGCGCAUCUCAAAAAUCCAUUUUACUUUCUGGGUACUUAAUUGUUUUAGGGAGGUUACCUCCUCUCCAAUGUGCUUGAACUUUUCCUAUUGCACAAAAGGUUACAAGUUUUGGGUCUGGUCUAUGUUUUUCCAAAAAAUAUUUCGAUACGCUGUGAUUUAAAAAUGCUUUUUUGAUAUUUCUUCCAUGUUCCCCUAUUCGGACUUUUAAAGGUCUCAACGUUUUUUCAACAUAUUGGUAUCCGCAUGUACAGCUAAAUAAAUAUAUGACAUUACUUGAAUGACAUGUAAUCAUAGAUUUUAUUUUAAAUUCUUUUUUUUGUUAUAAGAGAGCUGAACAUUUUUGUUUGUUAUAUCCGUAUUUUUACAUGUGUUACACAUACCGCAAUGAAAAAAACCUUGUUGACUUUUUGAACAAUUUGAUAAGAACAAAUUAAUUAAUAAAUCCCUCUCUUCUAAUAGAUAAUAAGUCAAUGACCUUAUUAACACACUGAAGAUUAGUGUUAAAAAUCCAUUUUAUUUAUCAAUAUAAAAAAUAUAUAUAAAAAUAUAAAAAUAAACUUUCCAUAUAUCACAUAUAAUUUGUCUAUUAGGAAUCACAAAUCAAGCCAUGAAAAAUCCAGACCUUAUUUGAAAUUCUCGGCGUCCUGAGUCAGCAAAAUGGUAGUGCUGAAAAAUAUCAAACAAUAGUCUUCUCUGAAGUUGAGAUGAUGGCUGAUGGUGAUGGGAGUCAGACCCCUCCAGGCGCCUUUCUCCGCUUCGGCGGCUUUAUCAAUGGAUGCGGUCUGUCUCUUGGUGUUCGUUUAUAUAGUGUCUGCAGGCUUUCUUUUGACCGUGGCAAAUUAGUGAUCAACAGUGUGUGCUACAAAUUCUAUCCAUUCACUAUGUAUCUAAAUAACAAUAUUUGAUUAAACCCAGAAGCUAUUUUAAUUAAAUUGCUACUUAUCAUUUUAAUCGGCACAAUGUAUCACUUUCUUGUUUAACUACCGUUACUAUGGUAACACCCGCUUGAGCGGAUUUACAUGUAACAGACUUUUAUUUUGAUCUGAUUAAACAGAGAAAGGUAGAGAUAGGAUGAAAGAAAGGUUGAAAAAAAGAGGGUGUAUAAGAAGAUUAUUUUUCUUAACUCUUAUGCUAUAGCUUAUUCAAGGGGAAAUAGUUACCGUAUUUCAGCCGAAAAAGGUAAUUUUAAUAUAUAAGAAUUGUUAAGACAGUUUAGAAAAUCUAAUCUUAAUAUGUGUAUUGCAAUUCCUUUGUAUUAGUUCACUUCAUCUUCGAUAUGGGCUUAGGACCAAAACAUUUAUUAACUAUGUAAUUCGUCAUAUGAGUGUGUAAUUCUUAAAGGGACCCUCCCUAUAUUACUCAGGGUAUAUCCUAUUAGAAAAAAUCCUUAAUAAAAAAAAAAAAAUGAAAUUUGAGUGUCUUCCAGUUCCCCAUAUUUCUUUAAUGCAUUCCUCACGGAGUCACAGCCUUGUUGGUGGUCUAUGAACGUGUACAAGGAGGUCACGUCUGUGGAUACUAAAAUGUAGUUAUCGUGCCAGGAAAUAGAGUCCAGUUCUUUAAUCAUCUGUGUCGUGUCCUUAUAAAUUGUAUUUAUAAUAGAAGGGAUUGUGUUUAUUUUGAAAAACAACUAUUUCCUAUUUGAAGAUCAGUUUUACCUCCAGAAGAAGGGAACUGCUAUAGGGACGAAAUUUGCCCCUUGCUUUGCUAACCUGUUCAUGGGGGAUUGGAAGGACAAUCACAUUUGGAAUGUGCAUCCCUGGAAUAUGAAUAUCCACAGAUAUAAAAGAUACAUCGAUGAUGUUUUCUUUAUAUGGGAAGGCAAGAUGGUAGACCUGCAAGAGUUCCUAGAAUACGUGAGCAAGAAUACCUGCUGAGUUAAACUGAACACUACCUGCAAUAAAACACAAGUGGAAUUCCUUGACCUAACAAUUUAUAUAGAUUCCGGCACAGUCAAAACAAAAACACACUUCAAAGACGUAGACGUGAACAGCUCCAUCCUUAAAGAGAGCUGUCACUUGCCUGCAUGGUUUAAAAAUGUACCUUAUAAUGAAUUCAGGCACCUGAGAUGCAACUGUACAGACUUUGAAGUAUACAGGGAACAGGCGGAAAUAGUGAAGAAUAAAUUCCUGUCAAAUAACUAUCAACACAAUGAAAUAGAGGAUGCACUAUGUAGAGUAGAGGAUUUAGACUGUAUUAAUCUCCUAAAGAAUAAAGAUAAACCACAAGCAACAAGACCAGGAGAAAUGUUUCCAGCGAUCAUCUUAAAUUACAAUAAAGAAAAUGCACAAUUAAAAAGAAUACUCACAAAACACUGGCAUCUAUUGAAAAAAGAUAAAAUACUUGCUGGCAGUUUACCGGAAAGACUUAUAAUUUUUUUCAGGGGUGCACCUAAUCCAAGAAGGAAAAUAACAAACAAGCACCUAAGAGGAAGGAAAGACGGAACCAAAACAAAAAAGAACGGUUUCUUCUUUUGUUUAGAUUGCAUCCAUGCAAAACAAGUAGGAACAAACAAAUAAAAGGAGUAUUUGAAGUCAUGAAAAAGAACUGCAAGAAAGAGACGGAAUCUUUUAAAAUAAAAGAACACAUCACAUGCCAUAGCACUAACGUGAUCUAUGUACUGGAGUGCCCGUGUGGACUCCAGUACGUAGGAAGAACCAAGAGGCAAAUGUACGUUAGACUCAGAGAGCAUAUGCUGAACAUAGGAAAGGAUAUAUGCAGCACUUGGUGUCAGCCCAUUUUAAACAACAACACAAUUCAGAUAUGAGCCUUUUGGACUUUAAAGGGAUAUGUAAAGUAAACAAAAACUGGAGAGGAGGAGUUCAUAAUAAACAACUGGACAUCACCGAAAUGAAAUGGAUAUACAAUUUAGAUACGCUGCAGCCUAAGGGAUUAAAUGCUGAGUUUGAACUCUGUCAUUUUUUUGGGAUGAACUUCUACUCUUCUAGCGGAACAAUUGCGUAAACUAGUUUUUUUAAAUUUUUUAUUAAGAGUUUGUGCCUGGCCCUUUAAGAUAGGAAGCUGCAAGGCUUAUUCGAUUUUAUCAUAAUUGCUAUUUUUAGUUUUUAUUUAUUUUUAUUUCUACUCAUAUUUUUAUUUUAUUUUUAGGAUUUUUUCUAAUGGGAUGUACCCUGAGUAAUAUAGGGAGGGUCCCUUUAAGAAUAACACACUCAUAUGACGAAUUACAUAGUUAAUACAUUUUUUGGUCCUAAGCCCAUAUCGAAGAUGAAGUGAACUAAUACAAAGGAAUUGCAACACACUUAUUAAGAGUAGACUUUCUAGACUGUCUUAACAAUCCUUAUAUAUUAAAAUUAUCUUUUUCGGCUGAAAUAUGGUAACUAUUUCCCCUUGAAUAAGCUCUACAGCAUAAGAUUUAAGAAAAAUAAUCUUCUUAUACACCCUCUUUUUUUUCAACCUUUCUUUCAUCCUAUCUCUACCUUUCUCUGUUUAAUCAGAUCGAAAUAAAUGUCAGUUACAUUUAAACCCGCUCAAGCGGGUGUUACCAUAGUAACGGUAGUUAAACGAGAAAGUGAUACAUUGUGCCGAUUAAAAUGAUAAGUAGCAAUUUAAUUAAAAUAGCUUCUGGGUUUAAUCAAAUAUUGUUAUUUAGAUACAUAGUGAAUGGAUAGAAUUUGUAACACACACUGUUGAUCACUAAUUUGCCACGGUCAAAAGAAAGCCGGCAGACACUAUAUAAACGAACACCAAGAGACAGACCGCAUCCAUUGAUAAAGCCGCCAAAGUGGAGAAAGGCACCUGGAGGGGUCUGACUCCCAUCACCAUCAGCCAUCAACUCAACUUCAGAGAAGACUAUUGUUUGAUAUUUUUCAGCACUACCAUUUUCCUGACUCAGGACGCCGAGAAUUUCAAAUAAGGUCUGGACUUUUCAUGGCUUGAUUUGUGAUUCCUAAUAGACAAAUUAUAUGUGAUAUAUGGAAAGUUUAUUUUUAUAUUUUUAGAUAUAUUUUUAUAUUGAUAAAUAAAAUGGAUUUUUAAUACUAAUCGUCAGUGUGUUAAUAAGGUCAUUGACUUAUUAUCUAUUAGAAGAAAAGGGUUUAUUAAUUAUUUUGUUCAAUAUUGUAUAGGUUGUUAGGUUCCCUAUUUUUGCACCCUAUUCUCAUCUAUCUCUAUUUUCAAUCAGCGCUCCACUACCAAUACUUUUUACCAAUUUGCUAAGAAGUUGGUAUUAUCUGGAAUUCUUUUCGCUAAGAAACUGUUAGUUAAAAUCUGUUUAAAAUUUUUUGCACAUCUACAAAUACAUUUUGUCUUGGAACCUAUAUAUUUCUGUAUUUCCUCUUCUUGUUGUAAAAUACGCCAAUUUUUGUUUAUAAUAUUCUUAAUGGCACCUAUUUUGCUUGAAUGAUUAAAAAUAAAAAGCAUCUGACUAUUUUUAUAUUUAUUGUCUGUCGUAUUUUUCUUAUUAUUAUAUUUUAAAAGAGGGGAUCUUUCUAAUAAUGUAACAUUGUUAAUUUGAAUAUCCAGAUCGCUUUCAUUGGAACCUCUUUGGACAAAUGUUUUUUUUUUUAAAACUCGGCCUGGUUCGAAAAAUCUUGAUUGUUAGAAGAGUCUCUUUGUAAUCUUAACAAUUGUCCUCUCGGUAUAUUGGACAGCCAGGGCUUGUGGUCACAACUAUUGAACACGAUAUAGCUGUUCACAUCCACUUGUUUUAAAAAGUCUGAGUCAUUAAAAUAUUGUUAAAAGUAUAAAUAUUCAGAUGUAAAAAAUCAAUACUUCUAUUACUCACACUUUUAGUUAAACAAAUUCCCCAAUCAUUAAGAUUGAGAGAAUUAAAAAAGACAUUAAAAAGAUCAUCAGAUCCCUUCCGAAUAAUAAAAAUAUCGUCAAUAUAUCUUUUGUAUAGGACCAGUUUUGCACCAAAAUCAUGCACCCGAUAUAUAAAAAUUGCUACUUUACAAUAUUUUAUAUUCUAUUUUUAAAAAAACUAAAUUUUGUUUUUAAUUCUGUUAAAUACAUUUUUACUAAAUAUCCACCCUGGACUCUGACGUUUCCUAUAAAACCAACAGUACCGAGUUCCUGAGGGCGUUUACUCUGCAUUCCCAUUAUAUAUCUCACGGAUGAGAUGAAAAGCACCAUAAGUACCGAGCCAGCUUUUAAUGGUAUCUGGGAAUUGUGAGUUUGAAGGAAUAUUUUAACACUUAUAUUAACUCACAUAUACAGUUUACACUAUGUGUGUUUUUUAAUUCAUUUAAAAAUAGGUUUCAAAGAACUACCUAUGGUUUGAUUAUUAGAAUGUUAAUGAAUAUAAGGUAAACAAGUUAUUUGUUUCUGUGUGCACAAAUCACCUUUUCUUUCUUUUCACUUUAUUACAAUUGUUAAGUGUAAACAGUGACAUUACACUUGGGUAAUUUUAGCUGCACCAGACAACAUACUAUAAUUAGCACACUUGUUAAUUUUUUUAGAUUUUCAUAUUAUAGUACAUACCAGGAAUUUGCUAUAAUCAUGGUUUUAGGAACAAGAUAUAAAACCAGGGAGACAUAUUCAUGUGCAGGUAUAUGUUGUUCAUUGUAUAUAAGGAUAUUAAAUGUUCCCCACGAUCCUAUAUCAAAAGAUGGGACCAUUCUUCACCAAGAAGCCAAAUACAUCAUAUUCCUGAACUUCUGUUGGGAUCACUAGUCCCCUGUUGUUUAUUAUAGUAGGUAUUGUGAAUUACCCCAUCAUAUAUAAAAAAGGAAUCUCAUGGGGUGGUCUGGUAUGAGGGUCUAAGAUUGCUCCGAUGCCACUCAAAGAAUCUAGUUCAUUUUUCUUCCGACUAGAAAUAUCCAACUGUAAAUUAUUAUAGAAGAGGAGAUAAGAAAUGAACAAUUUCUAAACAAUUUUAUUGCACAUUGUUGCAAACCUGCAAUGGGUACCUGUUAGUUUGUUCGAUAGACAGUUAGUUGGAGGUCUUUUAGGUUAAAAGUAACUUCGGACCAAUAGGACCCUUAGAUUCCUGCCCCUUCUUGCAGUGAUUGAUACAUGUGGGGAUAUUACAUCCCUCAGCAGGUUGUCUUGCGUCAAUAGAGGCUAGAAUCUACCUAAGAUCUUUUACAUGGUCCCAUCAUGCAUCAAAUCUAGCAAUACGUCUAAGUUAUUUCUGUUGGUUGACCUAAUCCUUUUUCAUUGAUUAGGUUCUGUCAGUCAUGAGUGUCCUGUUGUAAGCUCUGUUAAGACAUCUAUUAGGAUAUCUCUUCACUCUGAAAAUGCCCAUUCCCCUUACUUUGCUUUUGAAUGCAUUAAGACCAGAACAAUUUUGUCUGAGCCAAAGAUAUGGUCACACUGGGAUUCCUUUCCUCAGUGGGAUAGGAUGAUAACUGUCCCAAUUUAAGAGACUAUUGGUAUCUGUAGGUUUCCUAUAUAGAUUGGUUUUAAUGUUGCCUACUGAACUUAUUGUUAAUGUUGUAUCAAGAAAGUACAAAGGUGGAUUGCGAAGCUCCGCUGUGAACUUCAAAUUGUAUUGACUAUUAUUAAGUAUGUUCACAAACCCGUAGAAUAUUUCUUCAAUGUGUCUGUCCAAAUAAUCAACACGUUAUCUAUAAAACAUUUCCAGAUUAUAAUGGAUUCCAUGUGACACCUCAUUUUAUCUGAGAAAACCACCACCAUUGUGAAGGUUGGCAUACGAUGGGGCACAAGCCAUCCCCAUCACAAUCCCCUUCACUUGGUAGUAAUAGGUAAUGUCGAGCACAUAAAACAUGUGCAAAAUUAUUAAGUUCAGUAAUUCCAGAAUAAAAUUGUUAUGUUUUCCAAAAUUAGUUUGCCAUACCACUGGUAAAUGUUGCACGGUGAUAAAAAAAUACAUAUAAAUAUUUACGACCUUCGGUGUCUAAACUACAUAAGUAAAGUUCUUAGAUAACUCAAAAAGAGUGUGUUUGGUGACUCUAAUGUAUGAGGGCAACUUGACUACCAGUAGUCAGUCAAGAAAAUACAUUUGAUAGCUGAGUGGGCAAUGAUUAUAAAUCUUAGUUCAAUAACAAAUUAAAAUUCAAAACUUUCAAACCACAAUUUUAAAAUGUCAGGUGGGUUUAACACAUUUCCUUAUAGAUUAAAUAAAAUGUAAAUGGUUAGAAAAUAAUAUACUUAGAUUACGACUUAUUUACAUACUGUUGUCACUGGUGGCAAAUGAAAAUCCAGGUAUAAAAAGAUCACAGAUAGAUUCAAUUUCUCUAGAAUGGCUCCCACAUUUUUUUGAGACCGAGAAACAAAAUAAUAAUUCUUGGAGGUAAAAACAUUUUUCUCAGGUUUUUAUCUCAAAAACAGAAAUCCACAAUUGAAGUAGUAAUAAUUAUUACUCAUACUUGCUAUACCAGUGGAAAUUGUUACACAAGUGAUAAAAAUGAUAUAAACCUAAUAUAACGACAGGUAUACAAUUAAGAAGUCAGAGUGAUAUACACUAAACUGCACAUUUGUUUUUCAUUAUGUUGUAUUUGGCCUCACCUUAUUGAUUAGGGAGAUGCUGAGUCCACCCAAAAUCACACAAUCGUAUAUUCUUCAACCUAAGGAGACACAAAGAUUCUGGUGAAUCAUGAAAUGGUGAAGCAAUUGAAGGGGGAUUGAGGUGGAUCAGCUGUCAAAAGGGAUGUAAAACUAUGUAAGCAAACAUUUCCUGAAUAUCCUCAUUCUUCAUGUCCAAAUCAACACAUGACUAAUCUGCAUCCAUUAGCGAGUAUAAAAGAGGAUCCUUUUUGUAGAACAGUCAAACAUUAAUUUCUCUUUACUCAAUUUGGAUCCAGAAGCAGAUAGCCUUAUUCAAAGCCAUGUCUGGAGUCAAAGGAGGUCACAAGGAUCAACCAAAAGAUGUUGGUCAUUAUGAGAAGCACCACCACCAUCAUCAUGCGGACAAACAGAGUAAGUUAUUCACUAUGAAAAAUAAAUAAAUAGAAAAAGGACUUGCAUUCAAACUUUUUCUAAAGCUGAUACAUUCGCACCUUGCAGAUAAAUCUUUCAGUUUUGAAUGUAUUUUGCUUUUUGAGCAAAGAUGUCAAAUAUGUCCCUUACAUUUUACAAUCCCCCUUUGUUGUGAAGGUUUGGCUCUGUCAUAGCUAUGGCUACGAUGUUUGUUUAUGGCCCACCAUAUUGUUUGCAGAUGGAGAUACUUUGUAGUUCCAUACUAAUUGCUGGACUUGAAACGUUAAUUCCUAUUGGACAGCGGGCUUUAUGCAUUUGAAUUUGAACAUCAC